GUACGGCGAGUGNNGAGGAAGAGCUCAAAGUUGGAACCUGUUUGGCCUAGCUAAACCGGAUUGUAGACUGUAGAAGUGUUUUCCAGGCAAGCCGAGUAAAUAAGUCCUUUGGAACAGGGCAUCAUAGAGGGUGAGAAUCCCGUCUUUGGCUUGAGCAUUUGCCUUUUGUGAUACGCUUUCAAAGAGUCAGGUUGUUUGGGAAUGCAGCCUAAAUUGGGUGGUAAAUCUCACCUAAAGCUAAAUAUUGGCGAGAAACCGAUAGCGAACAAGUACCGUGAGGGAAAGAUGAAAAGAACUUUGAAAAGAGAGUUAAACAGUAUGUGAAAUUGUUAAAAGGGAACCGUUUGGAGCCAGACUGGCUUGUCUGUAAUCAAUCUAGGCUUCGGCCUGGAUGCACUUGCAGGCUAUGCCUGCCAACGACAAUUUGACUUGAGGGAAAAAACUAAGGGAAAUGUGGCCCACUUGUGGGUGUUAUAGUCCCUUAGAAAAUACCUUGGGUUGGAUUGAGGAACGCAGCGAAUGCUUUUUGGCGAGUUUUCCAGGAAGGUUUUCUGAGGUACUACGGUAUCAAGGUUGAUCUUUUUGGUUAUACUUCUAUUCGCUUAGGUUGUUGGCUUAAUGACUCUAAAUGACCCGUCUUGA
RNAcentral lists this ribosomal RNA (642 nucleotides) under Rhizopus delemar. RNAcentral's name for it is "partial large subunit ribosomal RNA". It matches the Rfam family "Eukaryotic large subunit ribosomal RNA", at positions 83 to 657 of the family's 3401-position model. Lineage: Eukaryota; Fungi; Mucoromycota; Mucoromycetes; Mucorales; Rhizopodaceae. The record is from RNAcentral.